This 1286-nucleotide long non-coding RNA is filed under the name Homo sapiens (human). Its description in RNAcentral is "HSALNT0089891". The record is from RNAcentral. Lineage: Eukaryota; Metazoa; Chordata; Mammalia; Primates; Hominidae.
CAUACCGCUUAAAGAUCUCACACAAAUAGCAAUUGGUGAUGUCUUCAACAAUAACCUCAUCUUGUGGGCCAACAGAGAAAUCAUUCACAGCGUUCCUUGAAGGUAUUGACAUGAUGCAAAUAUCUUUAUUCGUACAAAUAACAUUCAAGCAUAUCAUUCAGUGUUGCAAUAAGUUAAGAUAAGCUCCUUUCAGAGAUGCUGGGAAAGGCUGGCUUUUGCCUCCAAAACAUUGCUCCCUAAUUUUGGCUCCUUCUAUACAUUUCCACUAAAAGCCUUGCCCGGAGCAAGAAGGAAGCUUACCCUGCCCACCCCUCAUUGCCCCUGGCUCCUGUUCCCCUUUCCAAUGCUAGCAGUAGGGCAAGAGGGAGGUUUAUUUUCAACGUGAAACUUAACUGUAUAUUUAAUUCCUUCUACCAAAGCCUGCAUUAAGGCUAAUGCAUUACAAAACAUACAUACCCGCAAACUGUUGAGAUAGUGAGCAUUGUUUUAAGCUAUUCAUCUCUUUGUCAAAAAAAUAUACAUAGCCUGAAACCAUCACUAAAGUAGCAGAUUUUACUUUUUUUAAUUUGAAUUUUCCAAAUUCUGUUGGUCUUACCCUUCAAGUUUAUUUGUGCCACAUGUACAUAAACUAACCUACUUUCUCAAUAUUUUGCAAUUUGUGAAAAAAUAAAGCCUGUUGCAGGCAUGAACAAAGUGGCAGGGAGGUUCCAGCCUGAGAGUCUGGAAUCCUUUUGUGGUGAAGACUCCUAAACUGUCAGCAGGAAUCACACUCCUUUUCUUCCUUUUAAUAACAGACCCAAUUCCCUCUCUACCUCUCUGUAUUCACUGGCUACAUGGCUGCCUAGUUAGGGACUAUCUUUAGCUAGCUGUGUCCACAUGACUCAGUUUUGGCCAAUACAAUGUAAGUGGAAGUUAAAGUGAUGCGUAUAACUGAAAAGGCUUGCCCUGGACUUCUUCGUCAUCCUCUUCCUCAUCUGGCUGGGGGGAAUCAGUACAAGGACAGAGCCAACUGACCCACCUGGAAACUCUUUACCUUGUGGAUCUGCUCACCGUUGAGCUGAAUUUGAGAAAAACAAACUUCUACCCCUUGUUUUAGACACCAGGGUUUUGUAUCUUUUCCUUACAGCAGCUUGCUCUCUACUUUAACCAGUACAGCAAGAAAUGUAUUCUCUCCUAACAAACCCGACCAAGAAUCUUCCCCUACCCACUAAAUGACUUUGAUUUAUUAAGACAACUUAAAAGCCAAAUUAAUGGAAUUAAGUAACAUUUAUUUUACAUAAAACAAU